GUUGGAAAGGAGGAGGACCAAAACCCUGAAUGCAAAGUUCAGGACCAGCUCAAACCCUUGGGCAAUUGAAGGGCCAGUUCUAUAUUUAACAGAUCUAAUCCUAUUCUGGUUCAAGGUCUUAACCAGGCCAUGGCCGAAUCUUCCUCAAAAUGUCACAGGGCUCACAUUCCAUGUUUAUUACAAAUAACCUUUCUCAUCAGAACAAAAAAUGAUAAUUCUUCACUACAUGGCUUCAACAACGUGCUGCCUAUAGCCUAUUGUAUGGAUAAGUUGCUUUAAUGCAUAUGCUUCAACCAAGCAAAAAAACUGAGUAUCAAUUCUCAACUAAAACAAUUCUGUAAAAAGUCAAUGCGUGUCAAUUAUCACAUGAUUUAAUCCUUACAAUGCUUCUCGUGUCAUCUCUACCUCUUUUAAACCUGACAUUCUGGCAUUUUCACGAUCCUGCCUAAAAUACUUGUAUAAUGGAGUGUAAAACAAGCAACACAAACCAAAUGGAACUGUCAUCAUUGACAGAAGCCCCUUUGACAGGGCAGAAGCCUGCUGGACAGAACCUUUAACCGGAUCGAUAGAUUUUGAAUCAUAACCAAACAUAUUUUCUGAAAGAAUUCCAACCAAGGGUGCAGCAAAAGCAGAGAGUGAUCCUUCAAAAGCACGAUCGAAUGCAUAAAUCAUAGUUCUGUGUUUUACUGGGACUACUUCGGCAAACAUUGGCGCAUUAACAGCAGGGCCAUUCCAGCUGAUAGUCAGCCCCAUCAGGAAAACUGUAACAGCAAAAGUGAAAUAACUGUUCACUGACAGAGGUAUUUCUUUAAGCAGAAACCAAGAGAAUGGAAUGCCCAUGAUGGCGCUGAAUUGUGCACACAUGAUGCGACCAGAGUGAGGGUAACUAUGUGACAUUCGAUCUGCUAUCAAUCCACCAAGGAGGGCCCCCAAUGAACAUCCAACAGCAAAGAGACUUAGGAGGAAUGCUGUGCUAUUAUGAUCAAAACCAAUUAGUUCAAACCACAUAGUGAAGAACACCAUGGCAGUCCAUGGUAGAGUACCAACAAUGCCCUGCAGAACAAUAACCUGAAAUGUUUUCACUUUCAUAACAGCUUGCAUGGCUGUCCAAGACUCUGUCCAAAUGGAAGAUACACUAGAAUUGCUCCUUUCUAACAACUCAUUCCUAUUGUAUCUUUCACGAGCAUCGCGAGGUGUAUUGAUUGUUUUCCUUGGGUCAACAACAAAUAAGAAAACAAGAAAUCCAAUUAUUGAACUCAACGUUGCCAUCAUGAUGAAAGCACAACGCCAUCCUUGGACGCCCCAAUACUGCCGGCCAGCCAUGACAGUCGCGAGCACACCACCUCCUAUACCACCCAUGUUACCAAUAAGGUUUACCAAUCCAAAUCCAGUUCCUCUUACACCAUCCAUAUAGCUAUCAGCAAUGAAAGACUGCAAUGCUGGUAUCACAAUUGCUAGUCCAAAACCAUUUACAGCUCUCCAAAAUGCAACCUGCGAAAAAUGCUGGCUUGCACCCACUGCAGCAGUUGAUAUGGCCCAGCAUAAUGUCCCCAUUGCAAGAACUGCAGGGCGAUCAUAAUUUAUAACUAGUACACCUGCCAGGGGUGAUGCCAGUCCCUGCACAAAGUUCCUUAUGAAAGUAAGAUACCCCAAAUCAGAUGGCCCUGCAUUAAAAGCUUCGCUAACUUCUUUGUAAACAGCAGGAAGGAGAUUUUCAUCAGCACGCUCCAUUAUAGCAGCCAAGUUUAUAAGAAUGAGAGAAAGAGAAAUCCCAAAAAUCUUUCUUGUUCUGUGAAUAGUAAAAUAUUCCCAAAAAAAAGAAGAAAAAGUCAAUACACGAAAUAAAACUUCAAUCAAGAGGUCAAACAAAUUAAUUGGAAAAAGAAAAUGCAUGGAGUUCGAUAUCUUUCCAGAAUAGAAAGCUUAUGCAUUCAGAAGGGAAGAAGCUACCAUAAUAUAUGUGAGCAUGACACCUUUACACACUAGAUGUUCUACAACAUAUUGACCGCCAUAUUUCCAGCCUAAGGGCAUAUUAAAUCUAAGCUGAUUUAAUUUAUAGCUCUUCUCAAUAAUAUACAUGAAUUGUAUGUCAUAGCUUAGAUCUGUAGGACCAUAACCGAGUCAAGUAUAACAUAAUUUAUGAGAUCAGAACGGUAUCCCAGAGGCAAUAGCUAAUGCACAGUUGAAACAUUUGAAGAAGCGAAUAUUAUUUCCAGUCUUCAAAACAAAUACCACAGCAUUCCUGAGUGGAUGAUUUGAUCUCAGGGUUCCUGGCAUACUCUCAGCAAUAGAAAACCAUUUAUGAGUACCCAGUCCAGCUACAAAUCCCCCUUAAAAAAGGAAAAAUGCUCCAGUACCAUUCAACAGGUGAAGUUUAAGAGGAAGGACUUGAUGAUUAUCAUCCAGCAAAAGAAAGAACUAAAAAGGAUAGAAUGCAUUCUAGAAAUUUGUUUACUAUCAGAACAUCCCACAAAAUUUUCAACAAAUGGUGCAGCGAGAAUCUUAACCUUAGCUCUCAAUGGUACUACUGUGCACAUAGGGUAUAA
RNAcentral lists this unclassified non-coding RNA (2546 nucleotides) under Hevea brasiliensis (rubber tree). Lineage: Eukaryota; Viridiplantae; Streptophyta; Magnoliopsida; Malpighiales; Euphorbiaceae. The record is from RNAcentral.